Molecule: ribosomal RNA, 904 nt
Filed under: Triticum aestivum (bread wheat)
Lineage: Eukaryota; Viridiplantae; Streptophyta; Magnoliopsida; Poales; Poaceae
Description: partial small subunit ribosomal RNA
Source: RNAcentral
GCGCGUGCAACUACUUACGGCUCGGUGGUGUGUGUGUGUGUGUGUGUGUGUGUGGGCCUCUGCGCGAGGUUGCCCGCGCCAGUCUCUCCUAGGGCCGGCGUUGCCAUUGCUUGCGGUCGGGUUGGCCGGUGGUUUGCGCCGUGCGGGCCUCGGGUUGGGUUGUCUGCCGGUCGGCAUGAGGAGAGGGAAGAGGGCGUUGGGAUGCGCUGGCUGGACCGGUAGGAAGGGGAGGGGAGGGGCGAGGCGGCGAUAUAUUCGGCGGUGGGGGCGAGCGGAGAGGGAGGGUGGAGGGUUCGGCGGUGGGGGCGAGCGGAGAGGGAGGGUGGAGGGUUCGGCGGUGAGAGUUCGGAGAACGAGUAGGCGCACGUCGUAGAGAGAUCGAAGGGGGAUCUCUCUAGAGUGUCGGCUUAUUCGUCGUCGUUCUUGGGGAGGCCGGGAGGAGGGUCGUGGUGGUCCUUGGUUCAGUUCAGCGGUUACCGGCCAGAGUCCUACUUCAAGCAGCGGCAGCGGCGGUACCGGCGGCGCGAGCAGCGGAGGCGCCGGCGGCGGCUCCGGGGCCGGGGCCGCGGGCGGAGGCUGCGGCGCCGGCGGCACGGGGAGCGUCGCCGGAGGAAGCGGCGGCGGCGGAAGCCAAUGGAGAAGACGAUCUAGGCAGCGCCACCGCACACUACUCUACUCUACUGGGAAGAAGCAGACAGGCCGAACCAAAUGAGCAGCAGAACCACACACACGCACACAAGCACAACCCCGCACUCCACACCCGCGCACGCACACACAUACAUACCCAGCGCCACCACACCCUCCACACAGGUCAUGCACGCGGCCGCACGGUAAGAAACACAACCACUAGUACAUGAAUGAGAGAACAAGAACGUUACUUACUCUGGUAAAUAAACUAAGAAAG